Molecule: ribosomal RNA, 716 nt
Filed under: Streptomyces griseus
Lineage: Bacteria; Bacillati; Actinomycetota; Actinomycetes; Kitasatosporales; Streptomycetaceae
Description: bacterial SSU rRNA
Rfam family: Bacterial small subunit ribosomal RNA
Source: RNAcentral
GGCGGCGUGCUUAACACAUGCAAGUCGAACGAUGAAGCCGCUUCGGUGGUGGAUUAGUGGCGAAGGGGUGAGUAACACGUGGGCAAUCUGGCCUUCACUCUCGGACAAGCCCUGGAAACCGGGUCUAAUACCGGAUAACACUCUGUCCCGCAUGGGACGGGUUUGAAAGCUCCGGCGGUGAAGGAUGAGCCCGCGGCCUAUCAGCUUGUUGGUGGGGUAAUGGCCUACCAAGGCGACGACGGCUAGCCGGCCUGAGAGGGCGACCGGCCACACUGGGACUGAGACACGGGCCAGACUCCUACGGGAGGCAGCAGUGGGCAAUAUUGCACAAUGGGCGAAAGCCUAAUGCAGCGACGCCGCGUGAGGGAUGACGGCCUUCGGGUUGUAACCCUCUUUCAGCAGGGAAGAAGCGAAAGUGACGGUACCUGCAGAAGAAGCGCCGGCUAACUACGUGCCAGCAGCCGCGGUAAUACGUAGGGCGCAAGCGUUGUCCGGAAUUAUUGGGCGUAAAGAGCUCGUAGGCGGCUUGUCACGUCGGAUGUGAAAGCCCGGGCCUUAACCCCGGGUCUGCAUACGAUACGGGCUAGCUAGAGUGUGGUAGCGGAGAUCGGAAUUCCUGGUGUAGCGGUGAAAUGCGCAGAUAUCAGGAGGAACACCGGUGGCGAAGGCGGAUCUCUGGGCCAUUACUGACGCUGAGGAGCGAAAGCGUGGGGAGC